Non-coding RNA from Bacteroidales bacterium WCE2008, 35 nucleotides. NCBI's taxonomy places the organism in Bacteria, Pseudomonadati, Bacteroidota, Bacteroidia, Bacteroidales. The record is from Rfam.
AAGGAGAAAGCCGAAAAUCCUUUAAAGAGUAGGCA